GUCCAUGGGGUCCCAAGAGUCGGACACGACUUAGAGACUAAAUCACCCCCAAAGCGGGCGUGAUGGCGGCAAUAACCAGGCUACACCACCAGGUGGCGACGGUGCUCCAACGUUAGCCUCCUCAAGCAUCUGCCUUCCAGCCGCUCUUCCCGGAAUCAGCGACUGGGAGGAGCUGCGGGUCUCCGGGAGCCCCCCACCGCUCCCUGGCUUCCAGCUGCAUUCAAGGCCGUCCUGCCUGCUCCAGUGCAGGCGAAACUGUGGCUCCCUUUUCAGGCUGCAAUUCCUAGCAGCCUAGUUUGAAAGUGUGUUUCGUGUACCACAAAGCAGGGGCACCAAAAGGGGAAACAAAAAGAGGAGGAUUCAGAAAGGGACCUGCUCCUGCUGCAGGAGAAGCAUCUCCAUCUUGGAGAUGUGCAUGGAGAUGGAGGACUCCUCCCGUAAUCAUCUGGAGGGCAACGACCCCAAGAAGGAGGUGGGCCACGGUUUCUGCUUCUCUUUUCACCAUUUGAGGGUUCCGCUCUUCCUCCGCAGCCACAGUGUUUUCCCGUCUAGCUCUCAGACAGCAUCAGCUAGACCUCCAGGAUCUUCAGACUCAACAAAAGCCAAGCCAGGAGGGUCACGCUUUGGAGUGGUCUAUAAUUAGCCAAAGUGAAAGUCAAUCGUGUCUGACUCUUUGUGACCCCAUGGACUGUACAGUCCAUGGAAUUCUCCAGGCCAGAAUACUGGAGUAGGUAGCCUUUCCCUUCUCCAGGGGAUCUUCCCAACCCAGGGAUUGAAGCCAGGUCUUCCACAUUGCAGGAGGAUUCUUUACCAGCUGAGCCCCAAGGGAAGCCCAUAAGAGCCAGAAGCUUGUUCCAAUUCGGUCUUGUUACCACUGUUUCCAAGAUUACCUGCAUUAACUUGACAGUCCAAUGGACCAGAAUCACGAAGUCCUUUGAGAUCUUGGGUUAAAAAUGGGGAGGUUCAAAUCCACACACCCUAGGCUGAGUCUUCCUGGUCCCCUCCCUCCUGGUACCCCUGGAUGCUCUCGCACCCCAGGCAUCCAUGAAAUUGGCUGCAGAGGUCUUACUUAAUAAAGAAUGGGCUUGGACAGCACCCCCAUCCCUCUGACCCAGGACUCCUCUCCCUUCCUUGAACCCCUGUUCUCACCUUUACUGACACCCCGAGGAAUGCCCUUCUUUUCCAGGGAAUUCAUUUAUUCUUGUAAAAAUGAAUAAUAUAAUUAUUGAAAUCUAAAACUCAAUUGAUGAGUUAAAUUACAGAUGAAUUAAAUUGCCCAACUGAAGAGACAAUGCACUGGAGAAAUAUGCCAGAAAAUUCUUUAGAAUGUAACAGUAAGACAGAUGUUUAUUGUACUUAUACUGAUGAGGAAAGUAGGAAAGAGGUAGAAAGAGAAAAGAUACAGAAUAUAAUGAAAAGGUCUCACUACAUCAAAUUUGAGUCCCCAAAGGAAAGAAUAGAGAAAAUGGAAGAAAUUUAAUUUUUAAAGGAAGAGUGCCUGAUGAAAAACUUGAAUCCACAAAAUCAAGAAAACCCAUGAAUCCUAAACAGAGUAAAUGAGAAGAAAGCCACAGCUGGGCACAUAAUGUGGGCAGAAUACCAAAGACGGAGGAUCUAGGGCUCAUUCUGGAUUGAAAGUCAGAGCACUUAACACAGGGACAAUUUAACAGCUGUUCACCAGCAACAAUGGGAGACUUAAGACCAGAGGAGGCUGUCCACAAAGUAUAGAUGGUCAAGUUGGAAUGUGUAACUGGCAAAACCACCUUGCAAGAAUGAGAGUGAAAGGAAGAGAAUCACAGAUAAACAAAAACAGUGAGUUCCCCACCAAGAAAACCGAACUAUAUGAACUUCUAAAGGAUACACUUCAAAAGCACGGGAAAGAAUCCCAGAAGGUCAGUAAUGCAACAGGGCCUGGGGACCAAGCACAGUGGUCAAUACACAGAUGUGAGUGUGGCAACAGGGUAGGUGGGCAUUGCUGGCUCACAUGCCCCCUCUAGACUGUGUGCUCCAGAGACCAGGGACCAUGAACGCAUCACAGACAGACUCUGAGAGUGCCCCACAGCCUCACAAGACUUCCACUCAGAACCUGCGCCACCCUGUUCCUUAGAGACUGUUAGGAGUGUUAUUUUCAGAGAGAAGACUAGUCAGGUUAACGAAGGUAGCUCUGACAUCUGUCUUUCAAUAUAUUCUUGUAAGUGGUGUGUUUCAUAUUAUUGCCAUCUUUGGUGUUUUUCAAAUACAAACCAAAAAAAGUGAUUUUUAUAUUGAAACCAAAAGCAAUGAAUCUUGAGAUCCAAUAGUCAUUUGAUGCUUAUAUUUAUAACAAACACCCAUGGCUUCAGGUUACAAAAAAACAAAGGCUUUGAGUUGGCUGCCAAAGCAAAGCCAUCCUCCUCAGUCUAGUUUUAGUGGUUUUUCUUAAAGACAUCUUGGGACUUUCCUGGUGGUCCAGUGUUUAAGAAUCCAUGCUUCCAGUGCAGGGGACCCAGAUUCGAUUCUUCUUUGGGAAACUAAGAUCCUCCAUGCUGCAUGACUUGGCAAAAAAAGAGACAAUUUCAUUAUUUUUGAAACUGGUUCACUGUAAAAAAUAAAAACAGGAUGGUAAUGCUGUUAAGUGUCAUUGUCCUUCCCACCCUUCUUCCUAAUCACACAUGUCCUUCUGAAGAGAGAGCCUCUGUUAAG
This is a long non-coding RNA of Cervus elaphus (red deer), 2682 nucleotides long. RefSeq lists it as uncharacterized. The transcript is spliced from 3 exons. Lineage: Eukaryota; Metazoa; Chordata; Mammalia; Artiodactyla; Cervidae. The record is from RefSeq and is a predicted model, not a curated record.